Tachyglossus aculeatus (Australian echidna) is the source of this 386-nucleotide non-coding RNA. The record is from the annotation of a RefSeq genome assembly. NCBI's taxonomy places the organism in Eukaryota, Metazoa, Chordata, Mammalia, Monotremata, Tachyglossidae.
CUCAGGCAGGACAGAAAAUGGAGAUGGCAUCUCCGGCUCAACUCCUCUGGCUCGUGCUGCUCUGGAUCCCGGGCUCCAGUGGGGACAUUGUGAUGACCCAGACUCCAGGCUCCCUGACUGUGUCCCCAGGAGAGAGUGUCACCAUCCAGUGCAAAUCCAGUCAGAGUAUCAGCACAAGCUAUCUACACUGGUACCAACAGAAGUCAGGACAGGGUCCUAAACUCCUGAUCUACAGUGGAUCUACCCUCGCCUCCGGAGUCCCGGACCGGUUCAGUGGCAGUGGGUCUGGGACGGAUUUCACUCUCACCAUCAGUGGUGUCAAAGCCGAUGAUGCUGCAGAUUAUUACUGUCAGCAGAGUAGCAGCUUGCCUCUCACAGUGCUCUAG